UAUUUUGGAAGUAAAAAAUCGUAACAAGGUCUCCGUUGGUGAACCAGCGGAGGGAUCAUUACCGAGUUUACAACUCCCAAACCCAAUGUGAACGUUACCAAACUGUUGCCUCGGCGGGAUCUCUGCCCCGGGUGCGUCGCAGCCCCGGACCAAGGCGCCCGCCGGAGGACCAACCAAAACUCUUAUUGUAUACCCCCUCGCGGGUUUUUUUAUAAUCUGAGCCUUCUCGGCGCCUCUCGUAGGCGUUUCGAAAAUGAAUCAAAACUUUCAACAACGGAUCUCUUGGUUCUGGCAUCGAUGAAGAACGCAGCGAAAUGCGAUAAGUAAUGUGAAUUGCAGAAUUCAGUGAAUCAUCGAAUCUUUGAACGCACAUUGCGCCCGCCAGUAUUCUGGCGGGCAUGCCUGUCCGAGCGUCAUUUCAACCCUCGAACCCCUCCGGGGGGUCGGCGUUGGGGAUCGGCCCUGCCUUGGCGGUGGCCGUCUCCGAAAUACAGUGGCGGUCUGGCCGCAGCCUCUCCUGCGCAGUAGUUUGCACACUCCCUUGGUAGAGGCGGCGCGUCCACAGCCGUUAAACACCCAACUUCUGAAAUGUGACCUCUGAUCAGGUAGAAUCCGAUCCCCUA
This 623-nucleotide ribosomal RNA is filed under the name Trichoderma harzianum. RNAcentral's name for it is "eukaryotic LSU rRNA". The stretch from base 263 to 416 matches the Rfam family "5.8S ribosomal RNA". The record is from RNAcentral. Lineage: Eukaryota; Fungi; Ascomycota; Sordariomycetes; Hypocreales; Hypocreaceae.